RNAcentral lists this ribosomal RNA (395 nucleotides) under uncultured bacterium. RNAcentral's name for it is "bacterial SSU rRNA". It matches the Rfam family "Bacterial small subunit ribosomal RNA", at positions 29 to 429 of the family's 1533-position model. The record is from RNAcentral.
AUUAAACGCUGGCGGCAUGCCUUACACAUGCAAGUCGAACGGCAGCACGGGGGCGACCCUGGUGGCGAGUGGCGGACGGGUGAGUAAUGCAUCGGAACGUAUCGAUGAGAGGGGGGAUAACGUAGCGAAAGUUACGCUAAUACCGCAUAUUCUGUGAGCAGGAAAGCAGGGGAUCGGAAGACCUUGCGCUCGUUGAGCGGCCGAUGUCGGAUUAGCUAGUUGGUGGGUAACUGCCUACCAAGGCGACGAUCCGUAGCGGGUCUGAGAGGAUGAUCCGCCACACUGGGACUGAGACACGGCCCAGACUCCUACGGGAGGCAGCAGUGGGGAAUUUUGGACAAUGGGCGCAAGCCUGAUCCAGCCAUGCCGCGUGAGUGAAGAAGGCCUGGUGUAAG